AUUAUCAAACCGCUAUCCAACCACGUUUCCCAACCUAAUUCUGGUGAUUAAAGGGAAAAUCGAACUUGACGACUUGUUCAAUCGCUAGAAGGAGUCAACUGCCGGUGAUCGGAGGGUUACCAUUGGUUCAAUCGCAACCACAACCACCUUCAAUUUUAGUAUGUGUAGGCGCCAACAGCUACGUUCACUUCUACAGACAUUAGUAAAAUGCAAGAUUAUCAAUCAAAUUCUCAUGAUGCACAUGGAAAAGGAAAUGAGUAUUUGGAAGCUAGACUAGUGAGGAUUCAGGAGAACCAAAAAAGACUACGAGAAUUUGGAGUUAAAAACAUUGUGGACUCUAUGGAAGUCUGGUAGACAGUAACAAAAUGAAGAAAAAACAGUGAAGAACACUCAUGCGGGGGAUGUAGACUAUAUUCCAGAUCCAGGUGAUGUUUGUGAGGAAGAUAUCCAACAAGUUGGUAGAAGUGUUAUAGUACCCAAAAAGCGACAACGUUCACAAUAUAUUCCACCAAUGUCCAUGAAUAGAGCUGCUAAUCUCAUGAAACUACGCUGGGUGCUUGCUCCAAAUGUCUCUCAAAAGGUUCCAUCUACUUCAAAUGCAACAAAACCGAAUAAAGCAGGAGCAUAUAGAAGGAUGAUUCUUGUUGAUGAGGAUGACGACGAGGACGAGGAAAUAUUUCAAGGUAGAUGACGCGUAUAAAGACAUAGACGAUACAAUAGACGAGAUACAAAUGGUAGAUCACAACUAUUCUGAAGAUGAACACAAUGAUCAAGAACAAUUGCACGGCCCUGAAAAAGAUAAAGCAACAGAGGUGCUCCCAAAAAGGUUAGAGGUCAUACCCAAAAGGCCGAAAUAUGGAAAAUGAAUUCUACUGAAAGAAUAGCCGUCACAUUUAACGACUUUGGACAACCAGUGGGGGAAGAAGGCAAAGGACUUGUUCGGUAUCUUGGGACACUUGUGAGGAUGGCUGAUCAUGUAUCAAUUAAGUAUUCUGACUGGAGAAAAAGUUCCCAUGAAAAAUAAAGAGGAUAUGUAUUCACUUGUUAAGUCCAAAUUUGCUAUUCAUCCAGAUGAAACAGGUCAGGUUAAAGAAUGGAUAUUCCAAAACAUGGGGAAAAAUGGAGAACGUGGAAAGGUUUAUUAAAGUCACGUGGAUAUGAUCCCAGCCUUACUAGUGACAAAAUUGUGACGCAACAUACUAAUAAUGACGAUAGAGUGAAUCCAACUCAAUUUAAAGAACUUGUUACUCAUUGGUUCACUCUGAAAUUUCAGACUACAUGCGCUGCAAAAAGAUUGAGCCGCUCAAAGAUGAAGGAGCCUCAUGUAACCGGGACAAAGUCGUUUGCUAGACUUGCUCAUGAAGUGGCAAUGAAGAAUGAUGGUGUAUACCUGACCCGAGGAGAAAUGUGUAUAAUAACAACUCGCACUCAUAAAGACGAAAGUUUUGUUGAUGAUAAAGCAGCUAACGUUGUGGCUUCACUAAAAGCUAUUGCAAAUGACUCUGUAAGCAAACCCAUAGAUUCGCAUGAUUUUACAAAUGAUGAAUACUCAAAAGUUAAAGGCACAGAGAAAAGAGGGUAUGUUCGAUUAGUUGGAAGAAUGCCAGCCAUAAAAAGUAACGGUGAUUCUUCGACUAAUUCACAUACUAUUCAUGAGCUACAGAGUGUUGUGAACGUUAUGAUGAACAUUAUCCAAGAACGUAUCCCCGAUGCAAACUUGCCUAUAGUUCUUAGCAAUAUGAACAUACAGGUCCCUCGCGUUGGUUCUUCGGCUCCUAGCAACUCGUUACCUAGCAAGGAAUUAUGAUCUUCAAGAAGUGACGAUAUUGAUGACAGAGCUGACAACAUGUGAAGCCUUGGAGGAAUAGAGAUAACAAGAUUAAUGAAUUGCUUGGAACUAAGUUUUUUUAGAGUAUGAUUUGUAUCGAAAGAACGUUUUGACUUCUUUUGUAGACAUUCAUUUGUUUGCUAAGAUUUACAGUAUGUUUUGGAUCCAACUUUUAGUUGAAAUUAUGACAUUAUUAUUUUUCU
RNAcentral lists this long non-coding RNA (2031 nucleotides) under Helianthus annuus (common sunflower). Lineage: Eukaryota; Viridiplantae; Streptophyta; Magnoliopsida; Asterales; Asteraceae. The record is from RNAcentral.